Molecule: ribosomal RNA, 305 nt
Filed under: uncultured bacterium
Lineage: Bacteria
Description: bacterial SSU rRNA
Rfam family: Bacterial small subunit ribosomal RNA
Source: RNAcentral
UUUACCUACGGGACGCAGCAGUGAGGAAUAUUGGUCAAUGGGCGGGAGCCUGAACCAGCCAAGUCGCGUGAGGGACGACGGUUCUAUGGAUUGUAAACCUCUUUUGUCGGGGAACAAAGGCGCCCACGGGUGGGCGGAUGAGUGUACCCGAAGAAAAAGCAUCGGCUAACUCCGUGCCAGCAGCCGCGGUAAUACGGAGGAUGCAAGCGUUAUCCGGAUUUACUGGGUGUAAAGGGGGCGUAGACGGCAGCGCAAGUCUGGAGUGAAAUGCCGGGGCCCAACCCCGGAACUGCUUUGGAAACUGU